This is a long non-coding RNA of Bos taurus (domestic cattle), 1190 nucleotides long. The record is from Ensembl. NCBI's taxonomy places the organism in Eukaryota, Metazoa, Chordata, Mammalia, Artiodactyla, Bovidae.
GUGAGAGUGAACUGAGCCUAUCAGAGGAGAGGAGCAGAAAGAAAGCAAAGGGAUGAGUGUCAACUGUGUUCAAGUUUUGGGAGUAGGAAUGGGGCAUAUGGAAGCUGAAGAAGCAGAUGCCCUUUCCCUGGCAGGGGAGAGAAGGGAGCUGCCAAAGAGGUUCCAUGGUGUAAUGGUGAGGACCCUGGAUCCAGCGAUCCGAGUUCAAAUCUCGUGAGACCUUUCUGAUUAAUUAGAAACAAUGUCCCUGUGAGUAAAUGGUGACAUGGAGGGCCUGCGAUGUUGCUAAUCAGCCGGGAAUCCCGACAGCUUUCGGGUGGAGAGUUCCAUACCUGAAUGGGAAGAACUGCGUUUUAUUCAAGUUCUCUACUCUUCCGAAUUUUUAUUUGCCCAGUCUCAGUUUAUUAUGAUUUUAUUCAGAGUUUCUCACUCUUAAGUCUCCGUUGGACAUGCAAAGCCGCUGUUCAGUCAAGAUUCGAACCUUCACUCAUGGAAUCCUGUGCCUUGGUCCCAAGCUCAGACCGAAAGAGGAGCGAGGGUAGCAUAUUCCGGCGUCUGAGGAGACCCAGGUCCCUGACCCAGGGCCGCCCGGCCAGGCUGCUCCGUGGACGAAGGGGAGAUGAGCCGUUGGGAGUCUGAAGCGGGGGGCUGGGUUCCCUUCGUUCUGCCGAGACUCUGCUCCACUGAGAUGAUUUCUCACGACGUGAGCGAAUGGAAACACUUGUGUCCUCUACUGCUCGGGAGAAAAACACUGAUGAGGCCCGUGAUGGACCUGAAUAGCUAGUUAAAGUUUUCCCUUCGAGGUGCUAAGAAGCAUCACUCUGAUACUUAUAAUUUGGAACUUUCAGUGGUUACAAAGGACUCAAUGACGCAGCUGUCAUUGUAGGACAAGAAACAAAGGUGUGAGGCUGGCGAAAAGAUCCGAGGAAGGCAAAGAUCAGGAGGGAACACAGGAUGAGCCAGAAGGGAGAAAGGGAUUGGAAGGGAGAGGAGUGGGUGGUCUCUGGGUUGGGGUGACCACAGUGUCUCACUCUGGUGUUCCCACCCUUUACUGAAGUGUCCCAGGACCCGAUUCACCCCAAAUCGCAAAGCUGCUGGAGUGGCAUUUGUUCUGGCAAAGUUCCCUUUGCGGUUCUGUGUGGAGCAGUGAGGUGGGCUGUGUGGGUCUGCAGCGUCUGGGGUGGGAAACU